AUCUUGAGACAAGAUCUCGCUCUGUCUGUUUGGCUAGAAUGCAGUGGCAUAAUCCCAGCUCGCUGCAACCUCAAUCUCCAGGGCUCAAGCGACCCUCCCACCUUGGACUCCCAAAGAGUGCUAAGAUUACAGGCAUGAGCCACUAUGCCCAGCUGGCAUUUAUUUUCUUAAAGAAAAAAAAAAUCUAAAUACUUGGGGGAAAUGGGAGUUGAGCAAAAGACUGACACUAACAGCAGAAUGAAUCAUUUUUAUAUCUUCUUUACCUUCUUUACUGGGAAAGGUGGCUGGCUCAGCAGGGAAGGAGUGUAUGAGGAGACUGUGUAAAAUGUGUCUUGUCGCGUUGUUGCGUGUAUUGCGCGUGUACUUUGGGUGGCCCUGUGCUGCGUCAGCUGGAAGGGAUCCAGAGAAAAAGACAGAGCCCUCUUUGAAGACAUCCAGAGAGAGAUCUAGGAUGUUGGGAAGGAACAAAGAAAUUCAGGCAUCUCUCCUGAGAAGAGAAAGGGAGUAGAAUGCUCCAUCAUGAUGCUAACCACAAGAAUUGACUUGACGGGACAGAAUCAAGGGGAAGAACGUCAGUGAAACUUCUGGUGACAAUCACCCACUUAGGUCUUUAUUUUCCAUUUUUGCAUUUGUCAUACUUUUCAUAGUAAUGAAAACAAAUAUGUUGUGUAUAAUACUGGAUGUCAGCCUAUACAUUUGGUUUUUAAAUUUGGGGAAGGAAACUUCUUUCCACUCGAUUGAGCAGUUUCAUCUUUGCAAUGUAUUUAUUCUUUCUGAACUUUUGGGUAGUGUCCUCGUAUUAGUCUGUUUUCAUGCUGUUGAUAAAGACAUACCCAAGACUGGGUAAUUUAUACAGAAAAAGAGGUUUAAUGGGCUCACAGUUCCACAUGGCUGGGGAAGCCUCACAAUCAUGG
Molecule: long non-coding RNA, 914 nt
Filed under: Homo sapiens (human)
Lineage: Eukaryota; Metazoa; Chordata; Mammalia; Primates; Hominidae
Description: non-protein coding lnc-CEP44-1:12
Source: RNAcentral